UCUGUCUCCCAACUGAUCAGCAAAAGACCUUCAAUUUCCAUCUUCAAACAAUCAUGGCUCGAAGCAUUUACCCUUGCAUCUUCAUCUUUGCAGUUAUAGCUGUCACCAGUUAUACAGAAUGCCAGGCUGCACGGACUUUGCUGCAAUCACUGCCUCCUCCUCUGCCGGGAAUGCCAACAAUUCCAUCGUUACCAAUACCAACUUUGCCACCUAUGCCAUCAGUUCCCACCAUCCCAAGUCUCCCUAAACCAGCUGUGCCACCGAUGCCUUCCAUUCCAACCAUCCCAACCCAACCAUCUAUUCCAGCCAUUCCGGGCGUGCCCAAAGUCUCCCUGCCCCCUAUGCCUUCAUUCCCCUCUAUUCCGAAGAUCCCUUCCAUUCCAACCAUUCCAGUCCUGUCUCCACCACCUUCAAAGUAACCUGUUGGUAGUACUUUCUCGAAACCUCGUGGGAUAGGCCAUGAUUAGAACAGAGACUGAAGUUGACCUAAUGCUGGUUGAAGAGGAGAUUUGUUGCUUUCUUUGUGAUUUUAAUACAUUUGUUAGUAUCAUACAGUACUCUUAAUAGGUUUUAAGCAAAUUUAUAUGUUAUUAAUGUUUAAAAUGAGCCAGUGUUUAUGUAUUAUAUUACUUUGAUUGUUGUAAUGUUUAUUCAGUCAUUAUGUUUUCUAUUUGUAUACAUUUUACAUCGUCACCCUCUUCAUUUAUAAAUUCCCCAUACAAUGCUACAGAUUAACUAAAGGAAUACCACAAUGGAACAUUGACAAAUUAAGACUUCCUUUUUUUCCCCUAAUUCCCACUUGACACUAUAAACAGAAAGGCAGACUGGAAAUUUACAGCUUAUACUAUUAGACGCAACAAUUACUCGAAAGUAUAGAAGAAGACCAUAUUGGUAGUAUAAAAAAGCCAGCAUAUGUGUGAAAGAGUAAUUAUCUAUGUUGUUAUGACACUUCCAUUAUUUAAUACUCGAACAGAAGGAAAGAAAGCUAAAGGGAACUUGUUCUACAUUGAUAUAAAAAGGAAGGUGUUAUGUUUAUAUAUGUAGUCAAUAUAAGGGACUGAUGGAGCAUGUCAGCAGAACGAAAAUGCAUAUUAGUAUAUCUAAGUUUCCUGUUACUGAAACUAAGUUAAAUUGAAGUCCCAAGAAGGUACUACAAAUCUAUGGAAAGAUGACUUUGAUCGUGUUUAACAUAGGUUGUUCGUCAAACUUAAUAAUAACUGACUAUAAAUAUAUGUAACAAUUGUAACUUCAGAGAAAACGAAUUUGGUUAUUAUGACACUUAAGGGAGAGUUACUUUUAAAACACUAAUCUCCAAUGAAAUGACUGGAAUAUCAUAAAUAAUUUAACAAUAAUAUAUAGCUAUAAACAUUUUAAAUCAUAAAAAAUAAGUAUUACAUAUUUUUAUUUUAUAAACUAUUAACACAAUAAUAUUUCUUAAAAAACUCUUUCUUAUCAUAAGAUGAAUAAAGUUGCAUCGCUCAGAGUAAAAAAAAAUAAAGAAUAGCUUAGCUAGAAAAAGAACAGCAUUUAUAGAUGGAUGAAGUGAAAAUUUGUUCUAUCCUGUAUGGAUAGAAUGAUAUGCAUAUAUUGUCUUUUAAAAUCUCAAAAAAGGUAGUCUAAUGUACUUCCAUUUUCCUUCGCCUUCCUCACGAGUUUAAGUGGAGUGCAUGAGAGUGAUAGUCGAGUUGUUUUUCUUCAGUCCUCUAGAGGAAAUCAAGUUCAUAAACUUCACCUUUUCCUACCACUUGUAUAAGACAGAUACUUAUGGUAUUCAAAUGUCUUCCAUAAUUAUCAUAUCCUAUUUUUAUCAUUUUGGAGGCAUGGUGUAGUGGUAAGGCAAGGGAUUGCGAAUCCUUUAUCCCCAGUUCAGAUCCCGAUAAAGCCUUAUGAAAAAUAAUAAUAUAAUAAAAUAACUCAAAAUCUCUUCUUUUUAAAUUUAUUUAUUGAGGAAAUUUUACAAAAUGUCCAUUUUUACCUAAUCAUUUGCAAAAAUGUCCACCAUUACAAAAAUAUCUAAUUUGGAAGAAUUUAGACCAAAAUAUUCUUAUUAACAAUUUAUAAUUCCACACUAAAACAAAAAAAUGGAUAUUUUUGCAAUAUUGUUAUUGGCCAAUAAAAUUUUGACACAUAACUUGCCAUAUUUAUUUCAAAAAGCAUACAUGUCAAAUUACAAUAAAUGCUAUGUUUUUCAUUGAUUCAGAAAAUGGCGAGAACGAUACUUUUAAAUGUAGAGAAAUGUCAUGUUCAAAAUGAAAUAUCAUUCUAGACAAAUGAAACGGUAUUCAAAUGUCGAGAAUGACAUAUGAAAUGUCGAGAAACAUUAUUUUAAUUAACUUCUCAUGGAAGCCACUUCUCAAAAUUUGUGACAAACUGAUAAAAAAAAUCAAAUGUCGAGAAUACCAUUUCAAUAUUUAGCUUUUCAUUAAGGGCAUAAUAGACAAGUUGACACUAAAUUCAAAUGAGUAGACACUUUUCAACUCAUGCUCUUAAAAUUUGACAUUCUUAAAAAUGCCCCUCUUUAUUUAUUUAUUUAUUUUAUGUUGAUACUUGUUUGUUUUUAAGCAAGUGGUGUCAGGGUUAUCGAAAAGAUUUGGAAUCAUUGCAUCUAGGAUUCAAGGAAAAAUUCUAAUCUAAUUAUAAAGGGAUGGAUGAUACUUUAUGAAAUGCUUCUAUUACUAAGGGCAACUCCAAUGGUAACACCAAAUCACCAAAUUGCACCAUUUUUUGGUGCAAAGUUGCUUCAAUACAACACUAUACUUUGCAUUAUUUUGGUGCAAAAUGGUGCAAAGUGUAUAAAGUCUCUUUUGUCCUUUUUUAUCAUUUCCCAAAUAAAUUUGUUAAGGGUAUUUGCGUCAAUUGUGCUAUAUAUUUUUAAAUAUAAUAAAUUAUUAUUAUUAUUAUUAUUAUUAUUAUUAUUAUUAUUAUUUGCAUUUGCAUUUAAAAUAAAUUUUAAAUGUAAGAAAUAAUAAUUAAUAAAUAAAUUAAAAGAAGAAAAAAAAUUUAAAAUAUAACAAACAUGAAUAUUUAUUAAAGUUAACAUGAAAUAUAUUAAACAACGACAUACAUACGAUAAUCUAAUUUUAUUUAAACAAAACGAUACAUAAAAAAGUGCAUAGUUCAGUAAUAUGGAAGAUCACUUCUAAAUCCUCCAAAAUCAUCAAAAUAAUUUUCAAACAAACUAGAUGAACUUUCAGAUCCUUUAUCUUGUUGUUGAGAUCUCUUCUAGCAAAUUCUUGCUUGUUCGUGAUAUCAUGACUGCAUGCAUAAUAACGCAUAACAUGAUUAUCGAGGAUGAACGUAAUGUUGAUGCACCAGUUCAAGAAUGGACAGAAGAGCCAAGCCUAGAACUUGAGUUGGUUGGAGGCAAAAAUCAACAUUUUCAAGAAUUCCUUGCUCGUUAUAGACAAAUCAAAGAUAAAAAGACUCACAUUGCACUUUGAAAUGCAUUGAUCGAUCAUUUGUGGGAAGAACAUAUGAAUUUCGAGCAUUAAAUUGCAAAUAUUUUGCGACUUCGUAAUAUCGUCUAUCCAAAUUCGAAAUGCAUUGUACUAUUUUCUAAUGGCAUGAUUUAAUAUUUUUAUCGUUGCAGUGUUUUUAUUAAUUGUACUAUUUUUUUUAUAUUUAUUAAUGAAUAUAAUCUUUUCCAUAAUUUAACGUAAUUAUUUAUUUAGUAAUUUAUGUAUUUAUAAAAUAAUUAAAUAAAUAAUAUUUCAAAUAAAUAAAUUAUAAAGAAUAAAAAAAAGAAAGAAAAUGGUUAAAUACUGUUUAUUUGGUCUAACUUUUAGUGUAAUGAUUGAAAAUGAAUUUUAGUUUGGUGCAAAAUUUGGUGCAGCGCCGAAGAUGGUCUAAUAAUAUCCAAUGACUGGGUAUUGAAUUAGAUAGUAAAUCCUAAUACAAAAUUUAAUUUAAUUAAUGGUUGUGGAAAAGACAAAAGCUACUUUAUAAACACCGGACUCGUGAGAAUCUUGGCAUGCUCAAGUAUUGAAUCAGUAUUAAAUUAGACAAACAAUUGGAAGGAACGGGUGGGUGGGAGAACAAAUUCUUUCUAGGCAAAACCUGGUCAACCCCAGCCGAUUAGAAACAUAUACAAUUUAAGAAUUUAAUAACUUAUAUAAAAGACAUUUUAUGGAAAAUGUCAAUUCAUUUAUUACCAAGAACAAUUUUUAAUUAGUUAUACUAAUAUUAACUAAUUAAAGAAUUGUUUAAUAUUUUUAUUGGCAUAUUAUCUUAUCAAAUACUGAAUGAUGAGCAUUUCAUAGCUUUCUUCGUUAUUCGGUGGUUUAACAACAUAAACUCCAGAGAAAAGGGCUGAUCCCUAAACUUGCCACUUGUUUGCUACAGCCUACAAGGUUCAAGUAAAAGUCCCCAUUGAUCAAACAUUAUCUAUUAUUGAUAGGAAAAAAGAUUUAACUAACUCUAACAAUAUCAGCAGCCAUUUUGAUAAUUUCCAAACCACCAAUCAGAAUUAUAACCUCAAAAAGGGAGAAAAAAAAUCAGUCGUAACCAAACUUAACCUAUUUCCACCAAUAUCAAACAUAAUUUUCAACCCUGGGAUUGAACUCCAUCUAUAAAUACUCCAAACGCAGUUUGGUUUUCAUCAUCAAAUUCAAAACUUCUCCUGUCCCAAUUGAUUAGGCAAAAAAACCCUUCAUUUUGAUCUUCGAAUUAUCAUGGCUAGAAGUAUUUACACUUGCAUUUUCAUCCUUGCAGCUAUAGUCACCGCCAAUUAUAAAAAAUGCGAGGCUGCGCGUACUCUGCUGCAAUCAUUUCCUCCCCCUCUGCCGGGAAUGCCAUCUAUUCCAACAUUACCAAAGCCAACUUUGCCACCAAUGCCAUCACUUCCCACCAUCCCAAGUCUCCCUAAACCAGCCGUGCCACCAAUGCCUUCUAUUUCAACCAUUCCAACACAGCCAACUAUUCCUACCAUUCCCGGCAUGCCCAAAGUCGCAUUGCCCCCAAUGCCUUCUUUUCCCUCCGUUCCAAAGAUCCCUUCAAUUCCUACAAUCCCAGUCCUAUCUCCACCACCUUCCAAGUAAAACCAUUGGUAGUAUUUUCUCGAUUCCUCACGUGGCAGGCCAUUGUUAGAAUAGAGACAGACCUCAUGUUGGUGUAAACGGAGAUUCGUUGCUUUGUUAUUUUCGUACUUCUGUUGGAGUCAUACAGUUCUCUUUCUCGCUUCAGUCUAUUUAUAUGUUUUUUGUUUUCACUGUUUGACAUCAGCCCGUGUUGAUGUAUUGUAUUCCAUCUUUAUGCUUUUUCUUAUAUAUUUUUUACAUUCUCUCAUAUCAUAUACAAAUGCCCCAUCAAUGCCAUAGACAUACACCAAAACGGAAUACCGUAAAAAAUAAAACAUGUUUUUAUGUGGAUUUCGACAUUAUAUCAUAAAUCGAAAGAUGGGAAAUAACAGUUAAAACUGCUAAACAUGACAAUUACAUGAAAAUUUGACGACUAAGGAAAUAGGAAUAAGAGUUCAAUAAGAGAUAAAAAUUAACUUAUAUCUCUACUUCCAAUCCCAAAUUAUAAUGGUCUAAUAAAUGUAGUCCAUGUCGAACUCGUGAUCAGUUCGAUAUUACCGUAUGAGAAAAGACAAAAGCAGUGUUUUACAUUUUGCCAUGAACCCAGUUGAGGAUUCUUUGAGUUGAAAUUCGUUCUCUCUACGGCUAAUCAAUUUCAACUCUUGAUUCGAAGUUACUGGCACAAGUCCAUGACCCUAGUUUGAAUGGAAAAUAACAAACCAAAAUAUAGGACUCCCAGAUUGCAUUUUGAUUAAUUGUUCAAUCUUUUUUCUUUCUUUCUUGUAAUUAUGUCUUCAUUUUCUACUUCAAAGUUCAGAAGAAAGAGAAAGUUUUGUUUGUUGGUUCAUUUACAAUAGAAGUGAAUGAAAAAUCGCUCUACGUAGGGACAAUUGCUCGAAGCCUACGAACUAGAUAGAAUGAAUUUGUCUUACAAAACAGCAUGAUAUCGUAAAAAAUCUCAACUCUCAGACAUAUAAUCGCAUUUUAUGUGUACGCAAUUACGUAAUCUCAUUUUUCCGUUGAAAUUCGCGAAAUAUUAACUGUCCUCUGUUUGGCAAAAUUUUAAGUUAUGUAUAAAUGUUCAAACUUUAUUUUUAAUUGCAUAGUUCAGUGAAUUCAAGAGAUUAUUCAUUUGUCCACUAUUUAUUUUUAUCUCUUUAUAAAUUCUUCCCAAAUGGUAUGUGAAUGAUAUUUUUCUCUAUACGUUAUUUUUGCAUACUUUUUCUAUGCAUGACAUGAGAUUAAACAGUGAAAAUUUUUGAACUUGCAAUUUCUUUUCUAUAAUAUAUUUAUGCACAACAUCGGUAAUAACUAAGAUUCAGUGAUGCAGAUUUUAAAUUAUAUCAUAAAGUUCCUUAGAUGCUUGUAUAAAAAAAUGCCGGAAAAUUGACAAGGAAGUGGUGGUUCCUAUGGAUUCACAAAACAUUCAAAUGUCUUAUGUGGGAGCAGGGGAUGGCUCAUUUUUUGUUUAAUCAUAUAAUGUCACAUCAUAUGGGAUGAUCUUCAUUGGGAACAAAUAGCAUUACUCCUUGUAUGGACUUGACUAGGGGUGGACAAAAUGUCCAGACCAAAUCAAAUCAAAUCAGAACCAAACCAAAUUGAGCGGUUCGGUUCAAUUCCACCAAAAAAAAAAAGAAAAAAAAGAAGAAAAAAAAAAGGGGUUUUGGUUCUUCGUACCGAGAACCAUUUGGUUUUGGUUCAAGUUUGAUUCUAGUUUUACAACCGAGAACCAAACCAAUGACCAAUCUUAAUUUAUAAUUUUAUUUUUAUAUGAAUCUAAUUUUGUAUUAAUUGAAGUCAAUCCAAUAGCCAUUAUUUUUGUACAACCCGUUAAGGGUAUACAGUUCUAAUGAAUAGGCGAAGGGUAUGAAAGUAUUUUUUUUUCUUCACAAUAAGUACAAGAUUGAAGAUAUUUGCAUAAAGAAAUUCAUGGUCAACACAUUCUUGAAUUAUAAGUUGUCAAAUUUCAAAACCCCAAUACUUUAAUUUUAUUGCCAAUGAAUACAUUAUCUUUUUGGUAUUUUUCUAGUGGCAGGAUUACAAGUAUCUGUAAUUAUAUAUUGAGAUUUUUAAGAUCAAAAGUGACUCUAUUUGUUGUCAUUCUAUAUCUUGUGGUGGUUUAAAAACAAAAACCUCUUGGAAACUGAAAAUGCCACUUGUUGGCUAAAUUGAGAUAAUAAGAAGGUUUAACUAACUACAUCCUUUGUGGGCAUGUUCAGUCAGAAUUUCCAAACCACCAAUCAUAGUCAUAACCAAACUGAACUAAUUUCCAACAACAUUAAACAUAUAGUUUGUGAUGAGGUUCGUGUGGAAGAACAAGCACUUGCAUAUUUGGAAAGCCUGGAUUGUCGGCAUUUGAAUAAUUGAACGUAACUUUUGCAUAUGGUGUCCGUUUUGGGUGCAUAAGUAUUUUUCGAAAAGGUAGCGACUGUUUUGGAUUGAACUCAUUGCUUUGUCGUGACGUAUGAGGGAUUUUGGCCGUUUGAGAUCGUUUGUUGGGUCAAAACCGCAUUUCAUAUUUAUUAGUUUAUCUUUUUUUUAAUAUUUCUUAUUUUUGCGUUUAGCCCAGCCCAUUUAGGGGCUGCUGGCCCAGCAGUAUACCAAAUUCUUAUCAUAUUUAAUCCCCUCAAAAAAAUGUGUGUUUGUUUUCUUGGUUGUUGAAGAAAUAAAAAAUUUAUUGUUUCUUACAUCAAUCCGUGAGAGCGAAUAUUUGUUUGAGUUUGUAGAUCAGAUCUACAUCAUCUGGUAUCCGAGCAUGGUUCGAGGAAGAGGACGUGCUGGUCGCAGUGGCAGUGGUGGCCAGGCCGACGAAGUGACAUAUCUGCGAAACCAGGUCGAGGCAUUUACAGUUCGAUUCGAUCAGUUUAUGAUGUGGGCGGCGAAGAUCGUACAGAGCGGAGCGCCUCCUGCCUCUCCACAUCCUGCCCCAACGAGUGUUGGGGACGGGGAUAUGAAUCAGGCGAGGUGUCAGAUGAGACAUUGUCGAAGGUACAUGGUAGUUGUGUUCAACAGCCACGUGCGCAACAACAGGACGCGUUUCAUCGUUGGGAAUCUGGAUUCAAGGUGGAUCUGCCUGAGUUUCACGAUGGAAUAGAGGUGGAUGAAUUUCUUGAUUGGCUAGCGGCAGUAGAGGAGAUCUUAGAUUAAAAAGAAGUGCCCGACGAUAAGUGGGUACCCUUGGUGGUGAUCCGCUUACGGGGCAGUGCCGUUGCUUGGUGGCAACAACUAAAGCAAAAUCGAAUCUGUCAGGGCAAGAUGAAGAUCUAGUCUUGGGAAAAAAGUGAAGAAACAGUUGAAGGCUGCGUUUCUUCCCUUCAACUACACCAGGACCUCGUACCAGCGCUUGCGGAAUUUAAGGCAAGGAAUCGUUCUAUGGAUGCUUAUUCCACAGAAUUUUACCAGUUAACAGCGCAUAAUGAUGAGGGAAAGUCAGAAGACCAGUUGGUGGCGCACUAUAUUGGUGGCCUAUGGUUGAAUCUACAGGAUAUUCUUAAUAUGUUUUUAUCGGUGUCAGUUUCUGAGGCUCAUCAACGUGCGCUUCAGGUCGAGAUAUAGUAACAACGCUGUUCUACAGUUGGCAAUUCUGGUGGUCCAUCUGGAGUGGGGGUCGAACAUUUAUCCCAAAUCCCACAUCUAGUCUGUCUCAAUCCUCUUCAUUAGGGGGUCGGGGCAUUGAUCGAAACACUCGGUUAGCGACCCCUCAAACCGCUAACCCGAGUGGCUGGGCUCCUCCUGGUGGACGAGGGCGUGGUAGUUAGUGUUUUGGUUGUGGCAGCUUUGGCCAUUUGAGGAGGGACUGUCCAUCCCAAGGACAAUCACGACCAGGUUUAUUCAUCGGAGGAGGGACACAAAACGAUGUACAGGAGCAUGCUCAUGAGGUGAAAGAGGAAGACGAAUCUGAAAUUGUGCAUACAGGUGACAUGGGUCCUCUAUUAGUAGUACGGCGGGCAUGCCUUACACCUAAGGGGUCACCUGAGGAAUUGCAGCGAAAUAACAUAUUUCUGUCCACUUGCACCAUUGGCGGGAAGGUGUGUAGGUUCAUCAUUGACGCAAGCAGUUGUGAAAACGUGAUAUCUGAGGCGACUGUGUAGAAAUUGAAAUUGACCACAGAACCCCACCCUGCUCCCUACAGUUUGGCAUGGUUGAGACAAGGUAACGAAAUUUGUGUUAAUAGUCAUGUGUUGGUAACUUUCUCCAUUGGCAGUGUGUAUUAUGACAGUGUUUGGUGUGAUGUGGUGCCUAUGGAUGCUUGUCAUUUGUUGUUGGGCCGUCCAUGGCAGUUUGAUAGGGAUGUGUGUCAUGAAGGGCGUCAGAACGCGUAUACAUUCACCUUUUCGGGUAAAAAAAUUGUGCUACUACCCUCCAAAGAUGUUCAUUGUAUGUUUUCGGUAGGGGAUAGUAGUAACUUACUUUCUCGAUCCUUGUUUGUACGUGAAAUGAUGGUAGAAGGUGUCGUCUUGUUAUUAGUCGGAACUGAGGCGACGUGAGUGUCGACAGUUCCUAUUACAAGUGAUGAGGCGGAACUUCACCCUAAAGCAGCCACCUUGAUUUCUGAGUUUCAGGAUGUAUUCCCAGCUGACCUUCCACAGGGUCUUCUACCUUUGCGGGAUAUACAACAUUAGAUUGAUUUAGUACCCGACACAUCACUGCCUAACUGUCCACAUUAUCGAAUGAGCCCGGCAGAGGAUGAGGAGUUGAGGAGACAGAUAGAAGAGUUAGUGCAGAAGGGUUACAUCAAAGAAAGCCUCAGCCCGUGUGCAGUUCCCGCGCUUCUAGUGCCAAAGAAAGAUAGGAGUUAUAGGAUGUGUGUAGACAGCAGGGCCAUCAAUAAAAUAGCAGUUCGUUAUCGUUUUUCGAUACCAAGGUUGGAUGAUUUACUUGACCAAUUGGCAGGAGCAACAGUAUUUACCAAACUAGAUUUGAAGAGUGACUACCAUCAAAUUCGAGUCCGCCUUGGUGACGAAUGGAAAACAGUGUUCAAAACACGGGAGGGAUUAUUCGAGUGGCUAGUGAUGCCCUUCGGACUGUCCAAUGUACCUAGCACAUUCAUGCAGGUAAUGAACCAAGCACUUCGACCGUUUAUUGGUAAGUGCGUUGUUGUUUACUUUGAUGAUAUAUUAGUCUACAGUGGGUCGGAGGAGUCUCAUGAUGUGCAUUUAAAGGAAGUCCUUACUAUUUUUGCGCAAAGAAAAGUUCUUUGUAGCCUUUAAGAAGUGCGUAUUUUAUACCGAUAAUGUUCUAUUUUUGGGGUAUGUGGUGUCAGCCGGUAGAGUAACAGUGGAAUCGGCUAAGGUUGAUGCAAUCCGUCAAUGGCCGUGUCCGCAUUCAGUUUCUGAUGUGUGGAGUUUUCAUGGUUUGGCAUCAUUCUAUCGAUGAUUUAUUCAGCAUUUUAGCACCAUCAUGUCUCUCAUUAUUGAGUGCAUGAAUGGGAGUAAGUUUCAGUGGAUGCCCGAGGCGGAGAAAGCAUUUAUGGUUAUUAAAGAGCGCCUGACUUCAGCCCCAGUACUUGCGCUGCCUGAUUUCACAAAACCUUUUUGCAUUACAUUGUGAUGCCUCUAAAUUGGGCAUUGGAGCUGUUCUGAACCAGGAAGGAAUACCAUUGGCUUAUUUUAGUCAGAAAUUGGCAAGGGCUCGUGGGAGAUAUAGCACUUAUGAUACAGAAUUUUAUGCCAUUGUUCAGGUCGUUUGUCAUUGGCGACAUUAUCUAUUUCAGUGAGAGUUUAUCUUAUACAGUGAUCAUAAAGCCCUCAAGCAUUUGUCUAGCCAAGAUUCUGUGUCUUUCCGUCAUUCAUCUUGGAUUGCCUUCUUACAGCAGUUCAACUUUAUCAUUAAACAUCAGGCUGGCUCUUCAAAUCGUGUGGCAGAUGCACUCAGUCGUCGGCACGAGUUAUUAGCACACCUACAGGUGGCAGUUACUAGGUUUGAGACCUUUGCCUCUCUUUAUGCUGAUGAUCCUUAUUUUGGCCCCAUCUUUCACCGUCUACUGCAGGGUCCUCAUUCCCUCUUUCUGUUAGAGGAUGAUUACGUGUUUCGGGGUGUUCAGUUGUGUAUACCACAUUGCAGCCUACGUCUGAAAUUGAUUGAGGAAUUUCACGACGAGGGCCAUGUUGGCCGCGAUUGCACUUUAGCCCUGGCCAGUACUUCAUUUUUUUUUGGCCUACUAUGCGUCGUGAGGUGGAGAAGUUUGUUUCGCGGUGCAGGGCAUGUCAUGUAGCAAAAGGCAAAGCCACCAACGUUGGGCUUUAUCAACCCUUACCAGUGCCUUCAGCUCCUUGGAUUGAUAUUCGUAUGGAUUUUGUUCUGGGUUUAUUGCGCACUCAGCGUGGUAAUGACUCUAUUUUUGUGAUGGUGGAUCGCUUUUCAAAAAUGGUGCAUUUCAUCCCUUGUAAACGUACUACUGAUCCUGUCAAGGUUUCACAGCUAUUUUUCAGAGAGAUUUAUCGUCUUCAUGGAUUGCCCACUUCUAUUGUGUCUGAUAGAGACACCAGAUUCAUCACUCACUUUUGGCGGAGCUUAUGGAAGUCAGUGAACACAUCGCUCAAUUUUAGUAGUGUUUACCAACCUCAAACAGAUGGACAGACUGAGAUCAUGAAUUGUUCUUUGGGAGAUUUGCUGUGGUGCCUAGUUGGAGAUAAUCUUCGCUCAUGGGAUCAACGACUUAGCUAAGCAGAGUUUACGUAUAAUCAUGCUCGAAACAGAAGCACCGGCUUUAGUCCAUUUCAGGUUGUGUAUAGUAUUCUGUCCCGCAGCCCUGUGGACCUACUGACUCUGUCCUCUAAAACUCGGUUGCACGGGACGGCUGUUCACUUCGUCCGUAGUUUACAACAGGUUCAUGAAGAGACACGAGCGAAUCUGCUAGAGUCCAACCGUAAGUAUAAGGAGGCAACUGAUCGGCAUCGACGUUCUGUUGAGUUUGACGUUGGGAAUUUUAUUUGGGCUGUAUUGACUAAAGACCGAGUCAACUGAGUAUUCAAAAUUAUCAUCCCGCACCAUUGGUCCAAUGGAAAUUAUAGAGAAGAUUAACCCCAAUGCUUACCGCCUUCAACUUUCUUCUCAUAUACGGACUUCGGAUGUGUUUAAUGUGAAGCAUCUUUUGUCCUACCAUGGCGACAACAUAGAGGAUGGUGCUAACAGUUCUGAUUCGAGGGCGAAUACCAUUGAUCCAGGGGAGAAUGAUGAGGUUCGUGUGGAAGAACAAACACUUGCAUAUUUGGAAUGCUUAGAUUAUUGGCGUUCGAAGAAUUGAGCAUAACUUUUGCAUACGGUGUCCGUUUUGGGCCCAUAAGUACUUUUCAGAAAGGUAGCGAUCGUUUUGGAUUGAACUCGUUGCUUUGCCGUGACGUGUGAGGGAUUUUGGCCAUUUGAGAUCGUUUGUUGGGUCAAAACCACCUUUCAUUUUAUGGCAUUUUUGCCCUUAUUUCCACAUUUCUUUGCGGAAAACGUCCUUGUCACCAUUUUUUAAUGUAAAAUGACCAAAAUACCCUCAUAUUUAAAUAAAACCCAAAAAUAAAGAAAAGAAAAAUAAAGAAUAAAUUACAAUCUUAGCCCUAAAUGUUUUAAAAAGUGCAAGUGAGUCCAAAUAAUUAUUAAAAGGCCUAAUAGCACAAAACGUUCAUACGUUUGGUCUAUAGUGUGAAAAACAUCCCUACGUUUCAAAUUGUUAAAAGAGGUGUUUUUCGCAAUGAAACGUGGAAAUAGGGAUGAAAACAUAAAAAAAUUGAAAAGUUGAGACGUUUUUCUGCAAAAAAUAUCAAACAUAGGGAUAUUUUUUGCUAUUAGCCCUUAUUAAAAUAUUAAAAAUAACGAAAACUUCCUCUCUCCCCCUCUCUCCCUCUCUCUUUUCUCUUUUUCUCCAAAUGGGCCAAUCACCUUAGAAGCCAAAAAAUUCUAGCAAAUCACCAUCCAAACUGCUAGACUACCAUACCACCGAAAAGCCCUCACUUCCUUCUGCACAUACCACCCAACAUCCAAUCUUGAAACCUUCAUGCCAAUAGAUUUGUUAGGAAUUGCAAACCAAAAUACUCAACUCGCGAAUGUAAAUACUGGUGGCAUCAUCUAUUUUGGAGAGACCCAUGCCAUUUCCAACACACCAAUCGACUAAACUCAUUAGGGCGCCUCUCUUCAUAGUCUUAAAAUAUCAACAGAUAGUUCAACGAUAUGGAGGUUUGAUGGUUAGUGGAAGUUUUUUCACUUCUAAUGUAGCAGUCCCAUUUGGAGAAUAAGAGAAGAGAGAGAUAUUUUAUUUUAUUUUUAAUAUUUUAAUAAAGCCUAAAAGGAAAAAAAAUCCAUACGUUUGACACUUCUUGCGAAAAAUGUGCCUACGUUUCAAUUUUUUUGCGUUUUCAUCCCUAUUUUCAUGUUUCAUUGCGGAAAACGUCUCUUUCACCAAUUUGAAACGUAGGGACAUUUUUCACACUAUAGACCAAACGUAGGAACAUUUUGUGCUAUUAGGUCUUUUAAUAAUUAUUUGGACUUACUUGUACUUUUUAAAACAUUUAGGAGAAGAUUGUUAUUUAUUCUUUAUUUUUUUUUUGGGUUUUAUUUAAAUGAGAGGGUAUUUUAGUCAUUUUACAUUAAAAAUGGUGAAAAAGCACGUUUUCAGCAAAGAAAGGUGGGAAUAAGGGCAAAAAUGUCAAAAAAAAGGUGGGGACGUUUUCCACAAUAAACCUUAAAGAUAGGGACGUUUUGUGUCAAUUAUCCAAACAUUUAAUAGGGUCCUCACAAAAAUAAUCAUAAAAAGAGACAAAAUGAUCAGAUCAUUGAUGAUGCAUACAAAAACUAUACCAACGGUUUAUUCAGACAGAAUUACCGACAACGAUUAGUGAUCAUCGACACAUAUCGUUAGCAUUUACCGAAGAAAUAUGUUGUCUGUGAUAUCGUUGGCAAUCAUCGAUUGUGCUUCGAUUGAUGAUCAUUGACGAAGAAUCGGCUAUUACUUCUCCAAUUUUUAUUUUUUUUAGUAAUUUGUCGGUUAGUUAAGAUUUCUUUUCUUUUCUUUUUUUCUCUUUUAUUUAUAUUAUACAAGUCAUAAUUAUUACCGACAAAGUUUUCUCAUAUAUAUAUAUAUAUAUAUAUAUAUUAGAAAAAUCAUUUGGCGUACUAAAUGUACUGAGCCCUCGUUUGACCCCCAUUUUUUGGAAAUGAAAAUGAAUGAAAUAGUAUUUUUUUGAAAAAUGAGUGGUUGAAAAAAAAAAUUCUAAUACUCCAUUCUUGAUGUUACAUUAAUACUUCCGAUAUUAUUUGUUAACUAUAAGUUUGUACUUCGAUAAUGUUGUUUUUAUAUUUAUUUUCACUUUUUCGUCGGUAAAUUGAACUCAUAAGAGUUACUUUUAACUAUCACUGUCGAGAAGAUCUAAGAUUCAGUCUAUAAAACUAACUGGAAUGAAAUUUCUUUAGGGGCUCUAUCAAAAUUUGAGGCUUAGGUGACCCAUAUAACACUCUCUUAAAAUAAUGUUAUUUAUAUCUAUUAGAGAUUAUAAAAAAAGGUCGAACCUCAAUCUUGAGGGCACUCAUCACCCCGCCCCAAGAGUUUUAUGAGAAAGGUAAAUCGUGGAAUGUGCCCCAACAAGCUAGAGAAUAAGAGCUACCUGUACACGGCGCCUACAAUGAGUCCAAUUUCAUGUCUCAGGAAUCGAACCCCCACACUGCGGCUACCAACAAGACGUGAGAUAACUUCACUCCUAUUUUUUGCACUAUUGGAUUAUGUCUCGAGAGGCAUCUAUUAGAGGUUAUCAAAAAAAAUGUUGAACCUCAACCUUGAUGGUCCCCCACCGCCCCGCCCCUAGAGCAUCGUGAUGGAGGUAAAUCGCGGGAUGUGCCCCAACAGAUCAGGGAACAAGAGCUUGCCUGUACACUAGUACCCAUAAAGAGUUUGUUGGAGGAAUUUUCUGAAUAGUGAUGCCAAAAUAAGUAUAAUGAUGGUUUGUAAAUUCGUGCCGAAAAUUGGACAGAGUACAAACAAGAAGAAGAAGAAAGUAGGGACAAAGCCGAGGUAAGAGUUGGACUCUUUGUCCUUAAGUCGAAUUUGCCCCGCAACGGUGCCUACGGAUUUCGGCAAUCGACUCCCAAGAUACAACGGCUACACUUGUGUUUGUAGCACUCCAAAACACAAGUACAACGAACCAAAUUUAGGCUUAUGUACUUCAAGGAUGACAUGAAGGAAAAUCAAAAUAAAUGAAAUGAUUUUGAUUUUGGAUAGAAGAGAGGAUGAGAGAUGUUUUGCAUAUCAAAUUGUGAGGAAUAGGACACACAAAUGGUCCUAUUUAUAGACCAGAAAGGGUGUGGACGAAAUGGUUGAGGCCAAACCAUGCACCCUUUCCAAACAAUGCACCUUUAUGAAAAGGUAUCUAUUCACUAAUGGUUGAGGCCAAACCAUGCACCCUUUCCAAAUAAUGCACCUUUAUGAAAAGGUGUCUAUUCACUGAUUUUCGUCCUUUUUCGUAAUUUCUCAUUCAUCCGAUAUUGGUUUUCGAAAUGCCAAAUAUACCCUUCAAUACAUGCAGAGAAAUCAAAAUUCUCUAACGCCCCCGAGCCCCCACGGGGGGCGCUGCCCCCUCGACUCUCGCGACCUGACCGGGCAGGUCGAUCCCCGUUUGUGCGCCCCGAAGCGACGAAGUGGCAAACAAUUUUGCCUAAACGGAUUGAGUCGAGCUUUUGAGUAUUUGGCCGAAGUCGAUACGAAGUCACUUUAAUCGAUUUCAAUUCUCGAUUUAUUUAACCAAUAUCCAACAGAGUUCAAUUCCAUAUCUCAUGAAUACAUCUAUUAGAGAUUAUCACAAGUGCUGCAGGUGGUAGAUAAUAUACUGUAAAAUAAUAAUAACAAUUAAAUAUGUAGAUAUGUGAUCACUUUAUUAGUUUUAUAAUGUGAUGUCAUAUCACAUGCCUCUAGCAAAGACAAAUAACAUAUAUCUCUCUCUCUCUCCAAUCUCCUAUCAACGAAACAAGGGACCUGUGCUUGGGAAAGGGCUAAAAACUUUUCCGAGGAUUCCCAAAAUCUCGAAUUUGAUGCUCAAGACUGGUUCAAUCACUUGUCUAGAUUGAAUUCAAAAAAUUAAACUAAAUAAAUGAAAAUAAAAAAAUCUUUAUCUAAUCCAGAAAAUUUGUAAUUUGUAUAUACAUUUGUAUAACGAUCGAUAAAUAUUGAUCCCUUCUUACCAUUACAUGGUUAAAAAUAGAAUUGGUGUUUCAAUUUAUCCUGCGAGCUGCAUAAACUUUCUUUAGAGAGCUGCUUGCUUAAAAAUGGGUAUUAAUACUUGUUAAAUAUAUAUAUAGCCAUUGGGCUAAGUCUCUAUGAAGAGCCACUCACAUAUUUAUUUAUAGUUCGCCUUCCACUACAAGUCUUUCGUCUCUCUCGGGAAGGCGUUAGAGUGGGUUGAUAAGAACUUAUCGUAGAUCGGUGAAAAUCCAAUCGUGUACGCUCAGGAUGCUAAACGCCCCUUUCAAAUCGUUUUGCUUAUCUGACACACACGGAUGUGGAGUUGAUAUGUGAUCACACAAUUUCAAUUUGCUAUUGUUGUUGCAUAAAUAUGUUUUUAUACUUGGCAUUAAGUGCACUAACCUAAGAUGGUUGGUGAUGCAUUGUUGCAAAGAAGAUGAGAAAGUAGGUCCCCCAACAUGUGUAGCCAUCGCAACAUUUAGUUUAAAAUUUGACUUGAACUAAAGAAAAAGAAAGUAAAGCAAGGUAUCAUAUCUGACGGAUAAGGUUAUAAAAUUAUUAAUUGAGGCACCUGUAAAGAAUUGUGAAGAUAGAUAUUGAGGCAAACCAUGAUAUAGAGAAUUUGGGUUAUGGUGUAGAUUGUUGGAUUUGAAAUAAAAGAAAAUCAUGGGCUAAGGAAUGAACCAUUGAAGUUUGAGGGACCAUGUUUUAAAUUAGAACAAAGCCAUUAAUAAUCAUAUCUCCAUCUAUAUAUUAACCGUAGGAGUAAUGAUAUUUAGUUCUAUUGGAAUUAUAACUCCGGUUUAGAUAGCUGUAUAUUAUAGGUUGAAUGAAACAUGGAAUUAAACGAGUCAUAUAAUUUCGUCUAUCAUUUAAUGCCACAUUAGAGUCACCUAACCUGAGUUUGCAAUCCCAGUGAUAUUAUAUAGUAUUACUUUAAUCUCGAUAAUUAAGAAUUUAGAAAUCUGCAACCCGGGUAGGAUGUGUGAUAAUUGCAAUGGAAUGCGAAAGGUAAGAAAAUGAAAUUUGACUGUCGUGGUUAGCCGACUGCCAAAGAAAGUGAGAGAAAAUUGAGAAUUAGAGAAACUAGAAGAAGAAAUUGUACAUGAAAACGUUAUUGUUUGGCAUAGGAAGAAAUUGUGAAAAUGAAAAGAAAAAAAAAUUAUCGUGCGGCUUUUUAUAUUAAUGAAAGUGUUGAUCUUGCUGAACCACAUUUAAUUAUUAUUUUUCUCCUCUUUCUUGCUCCUUUUUGUUGUUUCCGAGUUUCAACUGCUUUUGGUGAGGGGAUUAGUUUUUCCUAACACUUGAGAAUUGUUUGGCUAAAUUAUUUUACAUAUGUUCUUCCAUUUAAUCGAAUAGAGCUUCGACUUAGAGUUGAAUUUGAAAUAUCUUUUGUUAGUCUAUUUUAACUGUUAAAAAUCCCUAGUCCAUAUUAUAAUCCUUUGCAUGGGGUACUACAAUAUUGUAAAUUUGUAGUACCCCAAAGAGAGUUAGACGUUCCAAUUUUAAACUUUAAUUUUUUUUAUUUUUAUUUUCAAUUGUAUAAUCUCUCGAUAAAAUAAUUUACACUUGAAUCUAUAUUUUUCCUCACAGAUAAACAGAAGCUUAUAAGUAGACAACAAAUUGUCAAGGAUCCAGUGGGAGACCAAAAAUGAAAAGGAAUAAAACAAUAUAAAUUAGCAUUCUUCUGUUGAUAUUUCCAAAAUAAUUUUAUCCAUUCUCGUUGCUUUUUUUAUUUUUACUUUUUGGUACCCCACCCCCAGCAACUUGUACCUUCUUAGUCCUUCAUAUCUCCCCAGGCAGAUUUAGGGUUUCGGUUCAAUCGAGGUAAGAUUCAGGUCCUCUUAAUUGUAAUUCAUUAUUUUAUUUUUUAUGUUUUAAAAGUUAAAUUGUGUUGAAAUAUUAUUAAAAAUAAUACUAGAUGGAACACAAAUGAGGACAUCUCCCCUAGACAUUUGAAUUUUGAAGUGUGUGUGUGUGUGUAUAUAUAUAUAUAUAUAUAUAUAUAUAUAUAUUUAUUUAUUUAUUUAUUUUUUUUAAAAUUUUUUACAGUGAUUAGAAAAAAGAACAAAAAUCAGCCGCUUCCCGCUUUUCAAGCCACGUCACCUGAAAUAUUGACGAAAUGGGCCCCUUUAAAAUACUCAUUGAUCUUCCAGCGAACAUUGACCCGUCACCUGAAAAUUUUCUACCAUUUAUUAUAUGGGGAAUUUGGUGAGAUUGCCAAGUUUGCCAAUGUUUUUGGAGAAAUAGCCUUUGACCAAUACAAAGAGGUAAAAAAAAAAAUGAAAAUAGUUUAAUUGACAAAAUGACCAAACUAUCCUUCACAUUUUAAUACAAAAAUCCUUUCAUAUUCCCUCUUUCACCCCAUUUCUUCCUAAGGUAAAAACCCUAUUUCCCCAAAUUCAAAAAUAAUGUCUCUCUUCUUCUUUCCCUUUGAGAAAAUCUCACAAAAUCGACUACGAAUCUCACGAAAUCGACCUGGCCUCUGAUGUCCAUACAAAAGAACACGACAAGCAUAAGCGAUCGAUGUGACUCCCCCUACCGCCUCGAAGACUUUGUUUUGGAACUACGAGUUUGUGAAAAUUCCUCUCCUUGCUACUGUGACUGUGAAGGUGAACACAAAUUUAAGGUACGGCUUCUUCAUCUCAUGCCUUCUUCAUACUUCACCUCAUUAGUAUUGGCCUCUUCACCACCACAUUUAGUGGCCAAAUGGAUCGUUCUCCGGUAGAUAUAUUUUUGCCCAAGUAUAUUUAUAUACCUGUUCGAAGUUCUAGGUAUUAUAGGUAAAACAUGUCUUAUAAUAUAGAACCAGAAAUUACUUCGAGCUCAUUCUAGAGACUUCAGCUUCCAACAAUUUUGUCUCCAGCUGUUAUUAGUUAGUAGUUAGUUAAUUUGUUAGUUGGUUGAUUAGUUGGAUAGUUUGUUAGUUGGUUAGUCAUUUAGUCUAUAAAUAGAGCACUUUGUAUACCUUCUAAUUCAUUGGAUAUUUUCCAAUCUUCAAUAUGAUUUCAUAUUGGAUUUAUCUUUUCUUCUAUUUACUGCUCUCUAGUUCUAUGCUAGGGAGAAUUUAACAUGGUAUCAGAGCAUUUCUUCAUUGCUUCUAGUUGAGCCUCUGCUAUUCUGUAUAGGAGAUUUUACUUCAGGUUGUGUAGAUGAAUCGAGUUUCUUGUAGUCCUCAGAAAAUGUGGAUCAAAGUAGUCCACCCAAUUGAACCUUUGUAAAGGUUCACAAAUCAUGUUCCUUCGGAUAGUCACUCGAUAUCUCCAAAUUUAGUAGCUAUCAAGAGCUGCGAAGAGAGCUUGACUAAUAAAAUGCUCUCCUUUCUUCUUUUCCAGUUCACAUUCUCUUUUGUCGAAUUCCUGCAAUUAUAAUGGCAGACUUCAAUAUGGUUUGAGUUCUUCUUCAUCAGUUCUUUUCUUCAUUUCUUUGUUCUCGAGCUCCUAUACCUAUAAUGGCAGGAAACAAUGAAGUUCGAGUUGACCGAGAGAAUGAUGUUCUCCUACUUGGGGAUGACCCGUGGCAGAUCUAGUUGCACCGUUUUAUCAGUCUAACAUGCCGUGGUCACUGCUUGCAAGUGUUAUAUUUGUGCCCAUUUUUGAGAAAAUUCCUGGAGGCAGCCCUAUUCUUAAAUAUUGGCUGCUGGAAUCUUAAAUGAACCAUAUGGUGUGUCUAUGAUCCAUCAUGUUUCAUUCUAAUAUCUUCAAGAUGGGCAUUUUGAACAUCCAUACCCCUCUUGAGGGGGAGCUCUUACAAUAUAGAAUCAGAAAUUACAUGCUAUGAAGUCGAGGAGAAACUCGUAAAAUUAAAAUUUUAGAGCAUGUUUGGUCUUUUUCUUAUUAAAGAAAAAUUCAAAGUUGGCAAUAAAUACAGAAUUACAAAAUAACUACCUACUCCUAAUACUUUAGUCAAGAUAAAACCAGAUUUUUAGAAACUAAAUCACUAUGUGGGCUGUUGACCUUUGCCACGUUCAAGUCCAAUUUUGUAUUGCCGUUGUAUCCCUUCAUCGUGAACGCAAACAUAUACCAUUGGUUCUACAUAAAUACGAAACAGACAAAUAGGCAGCAACUUGCAUACUAUGUCCACCGUAAUAAAUAUCCAUAAGUUCCAUCAAGUCUUGCAGUUUUAUCCAUUAUUAUCCAUCUUUGCAUGUGGGUGGGAGUUUAGGUAGCAAAAACGAGUACAAAACCCACCAUCACAUUAUGACAUGCUUUCUUACCUCUUAAUUCUAUCUCUCUAAGUGAAAUGCAUUUGUCAAGUUUUUGGUGGCAUAUAAUUGAGCUAAGACUUGAAAUUUAAAAAUUUAUGAAAUUUCUAUAGUGCCAAAUUCCGGCCAAUACCAAGGUAAACCGGGCUCAGUUUCACCAAGAAAUCGCGACACCAACGUAUUGAGACAACUCCAAAAAACCACCACCAAGGACGCCCCACUUCCGGUUGCUAUAGGUUGGGAAGAUGAAGUCCAAUAAUAUGCCCACUAGCUAUUAACCACAAAGGUCACAGCCGAGAGGUGAGUCUCACAGAGAGAGAUUGGGCAUUCAACUAUGGAGGCUGAGAGGAAGGCCAAGAAUAUAAGUGAAGUAAAUAUCCAAACAAGGUAAGUUAGGUUAUGGUUAUUUAGUGGACCAAACAAGGCUUGACUCAAAGAUAAUGGGCUUCAAAUUAAUAACAUAGCUUUCCAAGGAAAUGGGACGAACCGUGAGCAAUACUAUUAACAAUAGGUUACUUCGAACGGUCCAUACGAAUGUAGAUUUGGGUUGUCUCGAUAAUUGUGUCGAUAUACUAAUCAAUCAUAUGGCCAAGGCCGAUUGAUGAUAAAACCAGGGUUACAUCAUAGUCCGGGGGGUCGUUUGACAACAAAUUGCUUAACAACCUCCACCUUGGUGUCAAAGGACCUGCAAAAGAAAAAUGUCUCCCAUUAGUGACACCUCUAAUAAAAAACAGAAAAAAAUUGGAAAUCAUUUACUUGUACCGAUGUUUAGAAGUUCCUUGCAACUUCUAAACAUUGCCAGUGGUAGUACCUUCGUCCCUAUAUCAGAGAGGUUGUAGUGGGUGUGGGCUUUUUCAAGUCUUACCACCUCUUGAGAUACUGUAUCUCUAAUGAAGUGGAGUCUAACAUCAAUGUGUUUAGUGCGCUCAUGAAAAACGGGGUUCUUGCAUAAAUGUAUAGAUGACUGACUAUCAGAAUACACUACCACAUAAUCAUUCAAGACACAUAGUCCAUGAAGUAGACCUCUAAGCCAUAGGGCUUCUUUAAUAGCUUCGGUGGUAGCAAUAUAUUCUGAUUCUGUAGUGGAUAGUGCAACAAUAUGUUGUAACUGUGAUUUCCAACUAACACAUGAAUUUUAUAAGGUAAACAUGUAAGAUGAAUUAGAUUUCAUACCAUCCCUAUCUCCUGCGUAGUCUGCAUCUACAAAACCCUUUAAUUUUAUACCUUCUUUAUUAGCACUAAACUAUAAACCUAUGUCACUUGUACCCUUCAAGUACUUUAAUAGCCACUUUAGUGCUUCCCAAUGCUUAGGGCUUGGAUUAGCCAUAUAUCUACUGAGAAUACUAACAGCAAAACCUAAAUCCGAUCUAGUGCAAAUCAUCAAAUACAUUAUGGAACCAAUCACAUUAAAGUAAGGCACUCUAUUCGUGUAUUCUACUUCACGCUCAUUGCAAGGAGAUUGGUCCUUCGAUAAAAUAAAAUGAUUAGCAAGAGGCAACAUGACAGGUUUGUAAUUACUCAUAUUAAAUUUCUUCAAUACUUUGGAUAUUUAUGGAGACUAAUGCAAAAACAAAACAGAAUUUGACCUAUCUCUUUUGAUUUCAAUACCUAAGAUUCUCUUAGCCUUACCUAAGUCUUUCAUGUCAAAUUUACCACUUAGUUUUACUUUUAUAUUAUUUAUCCACUUAGAGGAUGAUCCAAUCAAAAGCAUGUCGUCCACAUAGAGCAAAAAAAAUAGAUAAUUAUCAUCUGUCUCAUUGUGUUGAAAAUAUAGGCAGUGAUCAGAUUUACUUCUUUGGAACCCUAUAGUAAGUAUAAAGGAAUCAAACCUCUUGUACCACUGUCUAGGAGAUUGUUUUAACCCAUACAAGGAUCUUCGAAAACACACAUAAUCAGGUUUUGACUUAUCCUUAAAACCUUUUGGUUGAUUCAUGAAAAUUUGUUCAUCAAGCUCACCAUGUAAGAAAAUAGUUUUUACAUCAAGUUGUUCAAGUUCCCAGUCAAAGUGUGCAACCAAUGCGAGCUUGACCCUAAUAGUGGUGUACUUAACAACUGGCGAGAAAAUUUCAUUAUAAUCAACGCCCUCCUUCUGUGUAUAGCUUUUAGCUACUAACCUAGCUUUAAACUUUAGGGGUUCCGAGCUGUUAGUUCCUUCCUUAACCUUAAAGACCCAUUUGCAAUCAACAAUUGAUUUGUUCUUAGGCCUAGGUACUAGCUCCUAAGUAAGAUUCUUUUCUAAAGAACUCAUCUCUUCUUUCACUGCCUUAAGCCAUUCAUUAAAUUGAUCACUGCCUAUUGCCUCUUCAAAGGUCUUUGGCUCUUUAUCAGCUAGUUCUUCAUAACUAGCCUGGGUGAAAGCUGAUUCAGACUUAAAACCGAACCUUCUAGGUUCUCUCGUUUGUCUCUUCUCUCUAUCCCUAACUAAGUUAUAGUUAGCUAAAGGAUUUUCUUCCUCAUAGUGCUCUUCUGUCACUAUUUCGUUACUAUUCUCCAUCUUGGGUUCCUGAGUUUGAGUCUCCACCUCAUUUGAAAUAGAAGGGGCAGGUAGAUUGAGUUUUUCUAACUCCACCUUAAACUGGUCUCUCUCUUCACCUGGUUCAACUUCACUCUCAGAUUCAGUUUCCCCUUUAAUACACUGCAUCUUAAACGUGACAUCUCUACUUAUGAUGAAUUUUUGGCUUCUAUCACAUAACCUAUAACUCUUAACACCCUCAGGGUAUCCUGGAAAGACACACUUCCUAGCUCUAGGUUCCAGCUUACCCUUACUUUGAUGAGAAAAAGCUGUAAGCCAAAAGUUUUAAGUAUCGAGAAAUCACUCAGUUUACCCGACCAUCUCUCAUGAGGAGUGCCGUCAUUCAAUGCAGCAGAAGAAGUCAGAUUAAUCAAAUAACAAGUGGUCAUAACAGUCUCACCCCAAAAUAACUUGGGAACACUAGAACUAAUUAUUAUGCAACGUACUUUAUCAAGUAUGAUCCUAUUCAUCCUUUCUGCUACCCCAUUUUGCUAAGGAGUAUAAGGAACGGUCUUAUGUCUAAUUAUGCCACUUUCUUUACACAUACUAUCAAAUUCUUUAUUGCAGAAUUCUAGGCCGUUAUCUGUCUUUAAAAAUUUGAUUUUCUUGCCAGUUUGGUUUUCUACUUGUCUCUUCCAAUUGUUAAAACUAUUAAAGGUCUCAGAUUUAUCCUUCAAAAGAUAGACCCACACUUUCCUAGUGUAGUCAUCGAUAAUAGACUGGAAAUACCUAUUCCCACCCGAUGUGGGAUUACUAGCAGGACCCCAUAGAUCAGAGUGCACAUAUUCGAGCAUGCCUUUAGCUCUAUUAACACUCAUGGAGAAAGAAGUUUUAUGAUGCUUACCAAGACGCAAUGAUCACAAAAUGGCAAAUUUGACACACAGUCAUUACCAAAAGCACCUUUUUCGUUAAGUAACUUAAGUCCCUUGACCCCUACAUGAGCAAGUCUAUUAUGUCAUGUGUGUGUGUGAUCAAUCUUGGCAGAGGAGAUAGAGGGAUUCACACCUUUAAUCACUUCCCCAGUAGUAAUAUAUAUCGUUUUUCUUAAUUCCCUUAAUGAAAACUAAAGCACCCUUGAUCAUUUUUAGCAUACCAUUUCCAAUUUUACCAGUAAAGUCAUCCUUCUCAAGUCUCCCUACUGAAAUUAGAUUCCUAGACAACUCAGGAAUAUAUCUAAUGUCCUUUAAUGUAUACACAAAACCUGUGUCAAAUUUAACGUUUAUGUCACCAAUUCCAGCAAUAAUAUAGGCAAAGUUAUCAUACAGUACAACAUGUCCAACAUUAGAUUCAUGCAACUUAUAAAUUCAAUUCUUUUCAGACGUCACAUGAAAAGAUGCACCACAGUCAAGUGUCCACUCAUGCAUGCAAAAAUUAGCAGUUAGAUUUAAUUCAACAGUGUAUGCAACUGGAUUUGUAAUCAUAUAGGCCUCACCACCAUUUAUAUCGAAAGUAGAUGCUAACACAUUUACCUCAUCUCUCUCCUUAACCUUUAGCUUACCCUUCUCCUUAUGACAAUAUUUUAUAAAAUGCCACGUGUUUCCACAACCAUAGCAUUUUCUCGCCUUAGUCCUAGAUUUUGAUCUAGACCUACCUUUGCUCUUCUUUUUCUAUCCAUUACCACUUGACUCGCUACUAGUUUGAUAUCCAUUAUGACUAUUUUGCCUAAAUUGAGUUCUACCGCGCAUCAUAUGUACCUCACCGUUCCUUUUAUCAUAUUUUUCAGCUCCAAUUUCAAUUUCUUUACUUCUAAGGGAAUCUAUAAUAAUUUCAUGUGUCAACGUGUCUCUACCAUACUUAAUGGCGUUCUUAACUUCCUUAUAGGAAUCAGGAAUUGCAUUGAGCAAAAUUAUAGCCUUAUAAGUUUCGGACACUGUCUCAUCACAAUUAACUAUAUCUUGCACCAAUUUGUUAAACACGUCUAAAUUGCCAUCAAGAUCCUUUGAAGGAUGAUCCAUUUUGAAACUGAAAAAACGUUCGAGCAAGUAAAGUUUAUUCGUUGUAGACUUAAGCAAAUACAAGUCUUCUAACUUUUUCCAAAGUUCUUUAAUGGUUUUCAGUUUACCCACCUUUCUUAAAACGGCGUCAGACAAGUGUAAAAUGAUUGAGGUAUAAGCAAGCUUAUCGGCUUCUUCUGUUUGUUCUUGUGAAAAAUCAGUUGAAAUAUUGCCUUCAAUGGCCUUUGAAACCUUUUGUUGGACUAAAAUGCCUUUCAUUUUUUGUUUCCAAAUAGCAAAGUCACCCUUUCCAUUAAAAAUUCCCAAAUCAAAGUUGUGAGUUGUCAUCUUUACACAACAGUCAAAGAAUGCACAAACCACAAUCAAACCACACAAAGUAGUCCUAGGGUCACAGACAGUAUACACCAUUCUAGAUUCCCAGAGUUUCGUAAGACUCGUGGUCUUAGAUCAAGGGAAUGUUCGAACGGGUAAGGUCACGAUAUUUCUAACGGAAUAAGUAAGCAGCGGGAAAUAACAAUGCAGUAAAAAAUACGUCUGGCAGAUAACUAGUCUCACAGUAAAAACUAAUUUUAACCCAAAAGCAAAUACUUAAUCAAAACAAUCAAGAGCACGUAACCCUAAUUCUAGCACAAGCAAUGGUUGUCAAGCAAUGACAACCCCCAACCUAUUGUCACCCCACACGGUGACGCGCUAAUGCUGAAAAUUAACGGGUUAAACCAAUUUACCAGAGAGGACGUGUCUGAGCCUGUAUAAUCGUGAGAGAUGUAAAUUUGCUGCUUUAGGGCCACCACUAUUCGCCCUAAAGAUUCAGCAAAUAUAGCAAUUCUGAUCAGCAACAAAUGCAGAUUGAAGGACAAAAUCGUCCAAAUUUUUCUGCACAACCUGAAACACUAAACCAAACACAUUAAUACGUUCAGGAAAUCAAAAUGAGUGAAAUGGCACGAAAAAACUGUGCAGGCAGCCUCCACGCGCCGCCACCGGUUGUCGCCCCACGCGCCUCACCACCGGAGGCGCCUCCACCUGCUAGUUAUGGGUCCGGCCUCCGUUCGUCCAACAGAGGUUGCGUUUGGCCGGAAUUUACAAUUUCAGAUUCGGCCCCUUUGAGAAAUCGCGAGACCCGCCGCCGUUUUGGUGGAUUUUUGGCCGGAGGAGAUGACCAACAACUCUGAUAUCAAAUGUAGUGCCAAAUUUCGGCCAACACCAAGGUAAACUGGGCUCAGUUUCACCAAGAAAUCGCGACACCAACGUAUUGAGACAACUCCAAAAAACCACCACCAAGGGCGCCCCACUUUCGGUUGCUAUAGGUUGGGAAGAUGAAGUCCAAUAAUAUGCCCACUAGCUAUUAACCACAAAGGUCACAGAGAAGAGAUGAAAGAACCGAGAGGUGAGUCUCACCGAGAGAGAUUGGGCAUUCAACUAUGGAGGUCGAGAGGAAGGCCAAGAAUAUAAGCUAAGUAAAUAUCCAAACAAUGUAAGUUAGGUUAGGGUUAUUUAGUGGACCAAACAAGGCUCGACUCAAAGAUAAUGGGCUUCAAAUUAAUAACAUAGCCUCCCAAGGAAAUGGGACAAACAGUGAACAACACUAUUAACAAUAGGUUGCUUCGAACGGUCCAUACGAAUGUGGAUUUGGGUUGUCUCGAUAAUUGUGUCAAUAUACUAAUCAAUCAUAUGGUCAAGAUCGAUUGAUAAUAAAAUCGGGGUUAAAUCAUAGCCCGGGGGAUCGUUUGACAACAAAUUACCUAACAAUUUCUUUAAAAGCACAAUCCUCAUGCUGCAGACUAAAUCUUCAUAAAGCAAGUACUAAAGAUAUGAUCGACAUUCAGGAAUAACACUUAUUUGUUCCUCGCAAUUAGCUUAUAUAUCGUCCUGAGCUUUCCUAACAAAUAUAUCUUCCUUUACUACAAUUUUGUGUUGCCUUGGAGCUUUCUAUGUGUAGUCAUGAAAUAGCUUGUAAGUCAUUAUUUUUGUCCAAUGCUUUGGUAAAUGAUUGCUUUGAGAAAUAAGAUUGCUAACUCAAUUAUUGUUUUGCAUUUUACCAUAGGAAAAAUGGAUGCUGAAAACAUAGUGAACGUGAAGAUAAGUAAUAGAUAUAGAAUGAAAUUGAUCAAUGAAGUUUUCUACAACUUAGAUGACAAGCAUCAGGACCUAUUCACCAACUCCUACUUUGGACAUUUGUUAAGCCUAAGAAAUAUGAAGCUUGCAUCCCAAUUAGUCCACCAAUUGAUUCUAAGGUCGACAAGUACCUCAAAAGAAAAUGAAGUAUUUAUUAAGGUUGGAGACAAGCUUGCAAAGUUUGGAUUGCAAGAAUUCAUACUGGUGACUUGGCUUAAAGCUGGGGAUUUGGAGAACGAGGAUCCGAAACUAGGGCAAAAUUGUAGAAAUCAUAAGAAUGAUAAAUAUAAGUUGGGCCUCCUCGUCAUACUGAUGUACGUGCUUUUGGCAUCAGAGGAGAAUACAUUUGUUAACCCAUGGUUGUUUUAUUUGGUGGAUGAUCUCGAUGAAUUUAACAACUAUUCGUGAGGGAGAAAGUCAUACGAGUACACUAUUAAGGUCUUUAAACGUAAUUUGGGAGACAUAUUGAAGGGUUAUAUAAGUUCUCAGCGAUAUUCGUAUUCUUUGCAUGGAUUUCCACUUGCAAUCAUGGUAAUAUGUUCUAAAAUCAUUUAAACUUUACAUUUUCUUUAAUUAUGUUACUAAAAAUUAAAUUUGUGAUUGUACAGAUUUGGGCAUUUGAAGCAAUUCCCAGUGUUGGAAAAAAACUCGAUCGUGUAACAGUCGAUUCUAGAAUUCCUAGAAUGAUAGGCUAGGAAAUGUCCAAGCAAAUCAGGGAGGAUAUACUUUGCACAAUCUUUGAAUCGUCAAAUGUGAGUUUUGUUUAUCAAAAUGUAAAUGGCGUCUAGAUAACUAUAACAAAACAAUUUGCUGAAUAAUUAUACAUUCUUGUUUUUUUUUAGAUGGAGGUACAUUAUGCUAAAUCCUACAGACGAUGAAUUGCUGGAGUCGCUCUGGAAGGAAUCUGGACCUUUUGAUGAUGAAGCGGAUCCCUAGUUGGAUAAUGUCACUUCUAAGGAUGAAGGCGGAAAAGAAUCUUAGAGUGACGAUGCUCAAUCAAGUUUCACUUACCCACAAUGUUCUAAGACAUCGGAUCGACCAUCUAUGUCUAGCCAUCUACAUUCAUUCAAGACAGCUAGACGACCCCCCACCUUCUUAUGACUAUAUUGCUCAUAUAAUAAAACAAGAAAUAAGAGGUAUUGCUCCGAGGUAAGAUGUCAGAGCGCUUCGAUCGAGUAGAAAGGAAAAUUGAUUUAUUUCUCCAAUUAGCUGGACGAGGUGGAGUUCAGUCGGAAAGAAGCGAAUUUGAUGAUCGUGCUUUUAGUACAGGCAAUCAGCAGAACUAAGAGGCAAGAGAGCGAGAUAAAGUAAUUAUUGAAGAAUGCUCUCAUGAAGAAGUCACACCAAAUAAGCAACUCGAGGCUUUUCCUACAUAUGAUGAUGGUAUAUUCUCUCUUGUACUUUUUGCUAUAAGCUACAAAGAAUUUUUAUGUUGGGUCCCAUUUGUUGGAUUUGAAGGAUUUUUAUGUUGGAUCCCAUUUGUAGGAUUUGUGCUAGAUCCUUCAUCUGCUAUAGUUUUGUACCAACAACAGCCUUUAGUAUAGACUGGAGAGACCUUUCGGAUCGAAGAAGCUCGACAAGAUGAUGUCACAGAGAAGGUGUCUAGGACAAAAGAGGAUUCAAACAUAUCUAACAAAGAUAAAAAUAAUUUAAAUUUCAAUAUUUCACUUUUUAAUCUUGUGUGUUAAAAUGGAUUGAAUUGUGUUCCAUCAACUUUUGUAGAUGAUUAUGAGAAGCCUUCGGCAUCUUCACAUGUUUGCCAACCUAGUAAUGAAAUCAUUUUGUCAUCGAGGAUCCGAAUUUUGAAUUAGCUGUAGGAAGGGGGCAUCGAGUUUAGAGAAGAGCACCAAUGCUACUUUCUCCAUACACUAAUCCCUUAAAGAAGAGAAAAUUGGUGAAAAUUCAAGCAUAUGACCCUCUAAAGGAAGUAGAUCCUGCGAAAGUUGAAGACCUCAACAAGUGGUUUGCAAAUGCAUCACGAGGUAAUUUAUUUUAUUGCAGUGAUUGACGUAAUUUUGAAUUUGCAAGUUAGCUUAGUUUGAUAUUAUUGUCGUCACAGUGAUAUAAUAUCCUUGGCUAUGUGUGAAGUGCGAAGAAAAUUCUUUGAUGAACUAUUGAAAGAUGACGAGUGGCUUAUUGAUGAUGUAAGCAAUAUUUGUAUAUUAGAAUUAUUAUUAUUGAAAUAAUGCAUUUAAUUAAUCAUGUUUUGACGUAGAACAUAUCAACUCGGCCUUAUACCACAUUAGGGAAAGGGCAAUGACAUAUCCACAUAUAUUUCAGCAAGAUUGUGCUAUAUUGGAUUGUUAUUUUUGGCAACUUUUUGGAAAGCCUACCUAAAAGCCUACCUAAAAGUGGGUAUACAUAAGAAGAAAAAUGGUAACUACGUAUUUGACCAAGAGCUCGUCGAUUAUGUUGAAGGGGCUUCACCGGUGCUCGAUAAACACUGGAAUAAAUGUAGAUUUUUGUACGUUCCUUACUGUGUACCGGGUUCUCAUUGGUUUGCACUAAAGAUUGAUUUGACGAAGCGAACUAUUUAUAUUUACGAUAGUUUGCCAAAACACAUCCGCAUUGCUCAGCUAACCAAAUGCAUGAAACCUAUUCAAGUGGUAAUUCUCUUGUUGAUAAAGGAAAACAUAGCGCGUGAAGAAAAUUUCAGCACCAACAUGUUUCGUUAUCAGAGGGUUGUAGUUCCUAGACAAACAAACGGGUAAACUUGGUUCAAUAUAACAUUUAGCACCAAUAUUUAUGACUUCUUUCGUCUAUGUCAUGUCUAUCUUACUUUUUUCCCAUUAUUAUUUUGUAGGUCUGAUUGUGGGCUUUUCACAAUAAAGUACAUUGAGUUUUUACAAGUUCAAUUGAAUAUGGAUUUGAUUCGUCCGGAAUAUAUGUCUAUUUAGAUGAACAAAUUAGCUGCAGAGAUAUUUGCAUGGCACUUUGAUCCAUAGAUUUAGGGAAUGUUUUGAUGUUAUUUUUGUAUUUAUACCUUGGAGAUUUAUUUUUGUAGUCGUAAAUGUUUGCUUCAAGUUGAAUGUUAACUGUAGUUACAGCUUUUAAGUCUUUCAUUUAAAUGUGCUUAUGCAUUUCUAUGAAAAUGACAAUUCGGUCAUUAUUUUGGUCAAGUUUUGUUCAAGAGAACGGCGCUUGUGCCGUUAAUAAUAUGAGAGAAAAGCCAUGAGAAUGGCAUAACUAUCGUUAUGUUAAAUGGUCAUUGUAUACGAGAACGUCACUGGUGUCGUUACUGAUAUUGAAAAGAUAGGGAGAAUGACACAUGUAGCAUUACAAAGACACAAACAUGUUCAUAAGAAUGGCACAAGUGUCGUUAGCGAGCAUAGAAUGACACUUGUGUCGUUAAUGAUAUGAGAGAACGGCGCUUACUUUGGUCAAGUUUUGUUCAAGAGAACAGCGCUUAUAUGAGAGAUGCUUUUAUGUCUUUCAUUUAAAUGUGCCUAUGCAUUUCUAUGAAAAUGACAAUUCGGUCAUUAUUUUGGUCAAGUUUUGUUCAAGAGAACGGCGCUUGUGUCGUUAAUGAUAUGAGAGAAAAGCCAUGAGAAUGGCAUAACUGUCGUUAUGUUAAACGGUCAUUGUAUACGAGAACGUCACUGGUGUCGUUACUGAUAUUGAAAAGAUAGGGAGAACGACACAUGUAGCGUUACAAAGACACAAACAUGUUCAUAAGAACGACACAAGUGUCGUUUCCAAGCAUAGAAUGACACUUGUGUCGUUACUACAUUGAGAUUAAACAUUAAAACGGCAUAACUGUCGUUAUGUUUAAAUAUACUAGUCACUAUCACGUGCGUUACACAAAUUUUGUAUUUAUCAUAUUUUUAGUAGUUUAUGAAUUUUAGUUUUUUGGAAAAUUUUUGAAGCAAUAUCAAGAAAUAUUUCCAUGAUAUGAAAAAAUAGUUGCAAAUUAUUUUUACAAUUGUAUAACAGUAUUGUGUCAUCUAGAAAAAAUAUACUUGUAUAUUUCAUAUUUGAAUAAGAAAUAUACGAGAUUAUACAAAUUAUUUUGCUUGUAUUCUUUGAUAUUGUUGAUAUGAUUGAGUUCAAUGUGAAGAUUAUAUUUCUAAAUUUUAUGUAAUUCAAUGUUAGAAAAUUGAAGAUUGAGCACCAUAUUCAUAUGCGUUUAUAUUCUGUGCUUCAUAUAUAUUUAAUAUUUAUUUCAUGCUAAUGUAAAAAAAAUAAAAAUCUAAAUUUUUUUCUAAAAUUUGGUUCGGUAAGUGAAUACACGGUGUUCUGCAUUCUCAGUAUUUAUAAGUGCAAAAAUCGGUAUAUAAAAAUACAGUAUGCUACAAAUACGGUAGGCAGUAUAUAUGGCAAGUUGCAAAUACGGUAGGUAGCAUAUACGGUAAGCUGCAAAUACGGUAAGGUGCAAAUAAGGUAGGCAUCAUAUACGACAAACUGCAAAUACGGUAAGCUGAAAUAUGAUAAAGUGCAAAUACGAUAGAAAUCAUAUACGGUGAGCUGCAAAUAAGGUAAGUUAUUUGCAAAUACGAUAGGUUGCAAAUACGAUAGGCUGCAAAUAUGGUAAGCAGCAUAUACGGUAAAUUGCCUGUAAAUACGGUAAGCAGCAUAUAUGGGUUUAUAAUUUGUUAUAAAUGUAUAAAAUUUAUUUAAUAUUGAAUUUCUUCAAUAUUAAAUGUUGUAAUUCAAUAUUAUUUCCUUUUUUAUAAUUGUAUUUCCAAGAAUAAAAAAAAUAAAACAAGUGGUUAUGAAAUUGCUAAUUUUUAAAUGCGUUUUUUUGUUGAAGAUAAAAAUAAUUUUUUAUGUUAUUUUUUAUAAGAUUUAUUGUAAUUUUAUUAGUGUAAUAAGAAGAUUUAUUCUUCCACACACGCAUCAUGCCAUCAAUAUUUAAAAAAUAAUAAUAAUUUUAGUAUAUAUAAAUUUCAUGAGAUAAAAAAUUAAGAAAUAAAAAAAUAAAAAUUUGUGUCGUUAGACAAGUCUACGAGAACGACACUUGUGUCGUCACUAAUCUUGAAAAGAUAUGGAGAACGACACAACUGUCGUUAUAGUGACAUAAACUUAAUAACGGGAACGAUCCAAACGACGAUAAUGUUCAUAUAAUGAUAUUUGUGCCGUUAUCGAGAAGAGAACGAGUAUUAGCAGCCACAAGCCAUCCUAGCCUCGAUAUUCCAUAAGUUUAACUCAUUUGAGUCAUGAGAUGGACACGCCGCUCACAUAAUUCGAGAGAUACCCUCGUUACUCUAGUUUUCUAACGAACGUGGAUGGUGACUUAUGAUUUGACCAACUUAACAUCCAAAAUUCAUGCCAAUUCCGCCGUUAUCCGUCACGUAAUCAAUAAUUCUAGCUUUCUUAAGUUCGGAGGCCUGAUCUUUGAGGUCGACGCGGUGGAAAUGAAGCAAAAAGGGGAGAAAUCAACAGAACGGCACAAGCGCCAUUAAACGUCACUUGUGUCGUUCUGUCUAUAAGCAUGAGUACGAGUAGCCACGAGCCUUUCGGGCCUCGAUAUUCGAUAAGUUGUACUCAUUUGAGUCGCGAGAUGGACAUGGCGCUCUCAUAAUUCGGGAGAUACCCUCGUUACUCUGGUUUUCUAACGAACGUGGAUGGUGACUUGUGAUUUGACCAACUCGACAUCCAAAAUUCAUGCUAAUUUCGUCAUUAUCUGUCACGUAAUCAAUAACUCUGACUUUUUUAUGUUAGGAGGUCUGAUGCUUGAGGUCGACGCGGUGGAAAUGAAUAGAAAAAUGGGAGAAAUCAACAGAGCGACACAAGUGUCGUUAAACGUCACUUGUGUCGUUCUGUCCAUAACUAAUAGUACGAGCAGCCACGAGCCUUUUAGGCCUCGAUAUUCGAUAAGUUAAACUCAUUUGAGUCACGAGAUGGACAUGCCGCUAACAUAAUUCAGGAGAUACCCUCGUUACUUUGGUUUUCUAACGAACGUGGAUGGUGACUUGUGAUUUGACAAUUCGACAUCCAAAAUCCAUGCCAAUUUCGUCGUUAUCCAUCACGUAAUCAAUAAUUCUAACUUUUUUAAGUUAGGGGGUCGAUCCUUGAGGUCAACGCGAUGAAAAUGAAGCGAAGAAUGGGAGAAAUCAACAAAACGACACAAGCGUCGUUAAACGUCACUUGUGUCAUUUUGUCCAUAAGCACGAGUACGAGUAGCCACGAGCCUUUCGGGCCUUAAUAUUCGAUAAGUUGAAUUUCAUUUGAGUCGCGAGAUGGACAUGCCACUCUCAUAAUUCGGGAGUUACCCUCGUUACUGGUUUUCUAACGAACGUGGAUGGUGACUUGUGAUUUGACCAACUCAACAUCCAAAAUCCAUGCCAAUUUCACCGUUAUCCGUUACGUAAUCAAUAAUUCUGACAUUUUUAAGUUAGGAGGUCGAUCCUUGAGGUCGACGCGGUGAAAAUGAAGCGAAGAAUGGGAGAAAUCAACAGAACAACACAAGCGUCGUUAAAUGUCACUUGUGUCGUUCUGUCCAUAAGCACGAGUACGAGCAGCCACGAGCCUUUCGGGCCUCGAUAUUCGAUAAGAUGAACUCAUUUGAGUCGUGAGAUGGACAUGUCGCUCUCAUAAUUCGAGAGAUACCCUCGUUACUUUGGUUUUCUAAGGAGCGUGGAUGGUGACUAGUGAUUUGACCAACUCGACAUCCAAAAUCCAUGCCAAUUCCGUCGUUAUCUGUCAUGUAAUCAAUAAUUCUGACUUUCUUAAGUUAGGAGGUCCAAUCCUUGAGGUCGACACAGUGAAAAUGAAGCGAAGAAUGGGAGAAAUCAACAGAAUGACACAAGCGUCGUUAAACGUCACUUGUGUCGUUUUGUCCAUAAGCACGAGUACAACCAACCAUAAGCCUUUUGGGCCUCGAUAUUCGAUAAGUUGAACUCAUUUGAGUCGCGAGAUGGACAUGCUGCUCUCAUAAUUUGAGAGAUACCCUCGUUACUCUGGUUUUCUAACGAACGUCGAUGGUGACUUGUGAUUUGACCAAUUUGACAUCAAAAUCCUUGCCAAUUUCACCGUUAUCCGUCACGUAAUCAAUAAUUUUGACUUUUUUAAGUUAGGAGGUCGACGCCGUGGAAAGGAAGCGAAAAAUGGAAGAAAUCAGUAGAACGACAUAAGCGUCGUUAAACGUCACUUGUGUCGUUCUGUCCAUAAGCACGAGUACGAGUAGCCACGAGCCUUCCGGGCUCAUUCGUUAAGAUGAACUCAUUUGAGUCGUGAGAUGGACAUGCCGCUCUUAUAAUUCGAGAGAUACCCUCGUUACUUUGGUUUUCUAACGAGCAUGGAUGGUGACUUGUGAUUUGACCAACUCGACAUCUAAAAUCCAUGCCAAUUCCAUCGUUAUCCGUCAUGUAAUCAAUAAUUCUGACUUUCUUAAGUUAGGAGGUCCAAUCCUUGAGGUCGACACAGUGAAAAUGAAGCGAAGAAUGGGAGAAAUCAACAGAACGACACAAGCGUUGUUAAACGUCACUUGUGUCGUUUUGUCCAUAAGCACGAGUACGAGUAGCCACGAGCCUUUCGAGCCUUGAUAUUCGAUAAGUUGAAUUCAUUUGAGUCGCGAGAUGGACAUGCGGCUCUCAUAAUUCGAGAGAUACCCUCGUUACUCUGGUUUUCUAACGAACAUGGAUGGUGACUUGUGAUUUGACCAACUCGACAUCCAAAAUCCAUGCCAAUUUCGCCGUUAUCCGUCACAUAAUCAAUAAAUUUGACUUUUUAAGUUAAGAGGUCGAUCCUUGAGGUCGACGCGGUGGAAAUGAAGCGAAAAAUGGGAUAAAUCAGCAGAACGACAUAAGUGUCGUUAAACGUCACUUGUAUCGUUCUGUCCAUAAGCACGAGUACGAGCAGCCACGAGCCUUCCGGGCCUCGAUAUUCGAUAAGAUGAGCUCAUUUGAGUCGCGAGAUGGACAUACCGCUCUCAUAAUUCAGGAGAUACCCUCGCUACUCUGAUUUUCUAACGAACGUGGAUGGUGACUUGUGAUUUGACCAACUCGACAUCCAAAAUCCAUGCCAAUUUCAUUGUUAUCCAUCACAUAAUCAAUAAUUCUGACUUUCUUACGUUAGGAGGUCUGAUCUUUGAGGUCGACGCGAUAAGAAUGAAGCGAAAAAUGGGAGAAAUCAACAGAACGACACAAUUACCGUUAAACGUCACUUGUGUCGUUCUGUUUAUAAGCACGAGUACGAGCAGGCACAAGCCUUCCGGGCCUCGAUAUUCGAUAAGUUGGACUCAUUUGAGUCGCGAGAUGGACAUGCUACUCACAAAUUUUGAGAGAUGCUCGCAUUACUUGGAGAACAUGAAAAAUGAGAACAACACUAGUGUUGUUACUGUUAUGAAAAUAGCACAAGUGUUGUUAGUUAUGUAAACACGAUACGAAUGAUUGAUAACUUAAAUAUUUAGAAAUAAAUUGUUAUUAAAUCAAUAAUAUUUAAUUUCUGAACAAUAUUUCUUUAUUUCUAGGUAAAAUACAAAAAAGGCGCGAGUGAUGUUUUGAUAUAACAAAACAAAAGAUAUCUGUCGUUAUAGCUUUAUCGAUUCUAAGACAAUGACAAAAUGAAUCAUUCCAAACAUUUUAAAUAGUUUACAUUUACGAAUGACGAAAGUAGUACAUCAUAACACCACCGUCCUUUUUAAUACUACAGAAGAAGCACAUCAUAAAAGUCAAAAUUCGACAGAUGUGCCAUUUUAUCUUCAUCAUUCAUAUCUCGCUAAGUGGUACACGAUCUGUACAAGUGAUAUGGUUAUGCCCAGUUACACGAUCUGUACAAGCGAUAUGGUUAUGCCCAGUUUUCAAACACCUACUACACUUACGAGACUUGCACACCUCUCAUGCUGAUUGUUUCCUUAUUUUUGGUAGACAUCCACUUCUUCUUCGUGUCAACGGUCGUAUUACCUUUCUUGAUCGAACAUUAUCAGGAAUUUCUCAGUCCGCCUCGUUUAGCAGUGGAUAUAUAUAUUUAGAAUAAGCUUGUUUUUAGUAAAAAGUGCUAUAAAAUGGAGAGAAAAACCUGUAACAGUUGUCUCCAACAUCCCUUACUACUGCAAUUGCAUGUGCACAUGGAAAUUGGUCAAGAUCAAAUUCCUUACAUGUGCAUGUCCCCCUCUCCAAAUUAACAAUGAAACUUUUCAUUUCAUCACUUAUUUGCAUUUCAUCUGGGCUAAGAUCUUUUACCUCGAAACCUUUUAACUCAUUAUACCUAUCAUACAUUUUCUCCUUCAAGUGCCGGAUGAGGUAGCUUGUACAUUUUUGGGCAUCAACGCGCCUAUCAUGAAACCAUCUCUGUAUCUUUUCCCUGAUAUGCUCGAUUAAAGCAAGUAUAGGAAAUUCUCGAGCACUUCUUAACAAUGAAUUUAAUGAUUCUGCAUUGUUUGUGAUCAUACUAUUGUAUCUAAUUCCAUUGAAAUGUGCUCUUGACCAAUACUCCACGCUAACAUCAUCCUCUAAGUACCCUCAGAUUUUCUUGUGUAGACUGCACAAUGCUUGCAUAUUAAUCUCAAAUUUUGCCAAACUAUAUGCCUCUGUAGUAGCUCUAAACAACGACACAAUAUCUAUGCAAGGAGAUUUGCUCUUCAAGUUAGUUUGCAAAUGCCAUAUACAAUGUCCAUGAUGUGCGUUAAGAUAGAUGCUAUUGAAACCAUUUGAUAUGCUUGUUGCACGGUCAGAUAUAAAAACUAGCUCGUCUAUGUCAUCGGUUAUUUGUCGCAACUUUUGAAAGAACCAAGUCCAUGAGUCAUUGUUUUCUGAAUCCACUAUGCCCCACACAAGUGGAUAAAUUUGACGAUUUGCAUCUUGGCAUGUGGUAACAAGUGACGUACCUCGAUACUUAGAUUUCAAAAAUGUUCCAUCCACACAAAUUACCCGUCGGAUUGAAGAGAGGUAUCCACAUAUGCUUGGUCCUAAUGCCAUGAAAAAAUACAUGAAAUGUCCAUCAUUAUUAGUUUCAAUAAAGGUCAACGUACCAGAAUUAUUUCUCUCCAAAACAUGACAAUAGAAUGGUAACUUUGCAUAGCUAUCAUCAGGGCUACCUCGAACCUCUUUGUAAGCAAAUUCUUUGGCCAUAUACGCCUUGUGAUAUUUUAUAGUUAUGCCAAACUCUCGACGAACGUCAUUGAUAAUGUUUCUUGGUCUGUACACUAUGUUGGCAUCCUGAUAUUUUGGAGUCAUGUUUUCCAAUUAUCGAAUAGGUAGCAUGUCUAUUAUCCCUGUGACGAACACUCAUGGAGCAAAUGUGAUGGCUAGAAUAUUUUCGUAUUUGAAAAAUCUCAGAUUCAACUAUCCUCGUUGCCCGUAAACGCCAGUUACAACUUUCCUCAACACAAACGACUGUAUACACACUCUUAUUUGAUUUCUUCACUUUAAAUUCAAAUUGGUACUUCAUGGCAAGUAGCUGGAGUUUUGAUAUCAAAGCACUUUUAGUUGGAAAUAGUUCAUCAUCGCGUACAUCCUCAUUUUUCGGAAUCCUAACCGAUGAUCUAUAAGGAAUUGAACACACGACUUGUGUUGAAGUACCAAUAAUGUCCUCUUCCAUGGAGAAAUCAACAUUGUUAUCAUCUCUCAUAGGAUAUUUAUCUUCGAAAUCUUAUUGUUCGGAACUACCUUGAAUUAUAUGCCAGUUAUCCCAAUCCACAGAGUUUCCAUCUAUGUUAUCAUUUCCAUGAUCGCCAUCAUAUUGCUCAACUUCAUUUUGAUGGCUCACAUCUCCCUUUUCUACUUUACCAUUAGUUUCUACUCCACAAUCUCUUUCAAACUCCCUUACCCUAUCAUAUUCACGUGCAACUUUGUCUAAAUAGUCACGCAAAGAGGAUGUUUUUUACAAAUAGAAAGAAACCACUUCACUUUCAUGUCACUGUUAAUCCUUUGUGGUGGAACUGAAAACUUAGACAUUCCGGGAUUAAGAGACACCAUCUCAAUUUUAUAUAACUUUGAAUUCACAUUAACAAAUUCUUGCACUUUGUUGUACAACUCUAUAUACGAAAUGCUAGAUGGAACAUAAAGAAUAUCCACAUUUUCUUCACCGUUUCCUACAUAAUCCCAUGUCUAUUUGCCUUCUUUAGUCUUUUUAAACUCGACAAAAUAGCAUAUCUGUACCCAUAUUAUUUCUACAGAAUCCAUAUUUGUAAAUAAAACAAAAAGCUAAAUAAUUUACUCAAGUAUAUAUCAAAGUAAUAUGAAAAUAGUUACCAUAUUUAAAUUAUCAAAGUAACAACAAUUUAUUAUCAGUAAUGGACAGAUCAUAAUAGAUAACGGUUGUACUAUCGUUUUACAUGGAAGAUAAUGACUGUAGUGUCGUUCUACACUGCUAAAAACGACUGGAGUGUCGUUAUCCUCCAAUAGUUGCGGACGGUACAAAUAUACACCAAAUGCGAAAAUAAAAUCAACUAAAAUAUCAUUUUAUACUAUAUUCAACAAUAAAAGUACCAAUGUAAAUGAGAUUUCUAAAAAUACCUUUCUUCUUUUUUUAAAUAUAGUAGAGAUUUCAAUGUAGAUAAUAUAGUUAUCAAAAUUUUUGUUCAAAUGCUCAAAAUAUUAAAGAAGAUAGAUGAAAAAUACAAUGAAUAACAAGAUUUUAAGGAAGCAACUACUAAGAAAGCGUGUCGACGGGUUUUUGUAGAGGAAUUGAGGGAUUUAAUUGGAUUGAAAGGGGUAUUUGAAUAUUUUUAAUGGUGAGGGUAUUUUAGAUAUUUGAUCUUAUUUGUUUAUUGUUUUUUGUAAGUGAAGGCUAUUUCAUCAAAAAAACAUUGAAGGUGGGUUAUUUUGACAAUAAUAUUGUUUUGACUAGACUUUUUUAUCCGAUGACUGGAUAUUGAAUUAGAUAGGAAAGCCUAAUACAAAAUUUAAUUUAAUUAAUGGUUGUGGAAAGGACAAAAGUUGCUUUAUAAACGAUGGACUUUUGAGAAUCUUGGAAUGCUCAAGUAUUGAAUCAGUAUUAAAUUAGACGAAUAAUUGAAAGGGAUGGAGGCCAAAUUUUAAUUAGUUAUACUAAUAUUAACUAAUUAAAGAAUUAUUUAAUAUUUUUAUUGGCAUAUUAUCUUAUCAAUACUGAAUGAUAAGCAUUUCAUAGCUUUCUACGUUAUUCGGUGGUUUAACAACAUAAACUCCAGAAAAGGGCUGAUCCCUAAACUUGCCACUUGUUUGCUACAGCCUACAAGGUUCAAUUAAAAGUCCCCAUUGAUCAAACAUUAUCUAUUAUUAAUAGGAAAAAAGAUUUAACUAACUCCAACAAUAUCAGCAGCCAUUUUGAUAAUUUCCAAACCACCAAAGGAAAAAAAAAAAAAAAAAAAAAAAGUCAUAACCAAACUUAACCUAUUUCCACCAAUAUCAAACAUAAUUUUCAACCUGGGAUUGAACUCCAUCUAUAAAUACUCCAAACGCAAUUUGGUUUUCAUCAUCAAAGUCAAAACUUCUCCUGUCCCGAUUGAUUAGGAAAAAAACCCUUCAUUUUAAUCUUCGAAUUAUCAUGGCUAGAAGUAUUUACACUUGCAUUUUCAUCCUUGCAGUUAUAGUCACCGCCAAUUAUAAAAAAUGCGAGGCUGCGCGUACUCUGCUGCAAUCAUUUCCUCCUCCUCUGCCGGGAAUGCCAUCUAUUCCAACAUUACCAAAGCCACCUUUGCCACCAAUGCCAUCACUUCCCACCACCCCAAGUCUCCCUAAACCAGCCGUGUCACCAAUGCCUUCUAUUCCAACCAUUCCAAAACAGCCAACUAUUCCUACCAUUCCCGGCAUGCCCAAAGUCGCAUUGCCCCCAAUGCCUUCUUUUCCCUCCGUUCCAAAGAUCCCUUCAAUUCCUACAAUCCCAGUCCUAUCUCCACCACCUUCCAAGUAAAACCAUUGGUAGUAUUUUCUCGAUUCCUCACGUGGCAGGCCAUUGUUAGAAUAGAGACAGACCUCAUGUUGGUGCAAACGGAGAUUCGUUGCUUUGUUAUUUUCGUACUUCUGUUGGAGUCAUACAGUUCUCUUUCUCGCUUCAGUCUAUUUAUAUGUUUUUUGUUUUCAUUGUUUGACAUCAGCCCCUGUUGAUGUAUUGUAUUCCAUCUUUAUGCUUUUUCUUAUAUAUUUUUUACAUUUUCUCUCAUAUCAUAUACAAAUGCCCCAUCAAUGCCAUAGACAUACACCAAAACGGAAUACCGUAAAAAAUAAAACAUGUUUUUAUGUGGAUUUCGACAUUAUAUUAUAAAUCAAAAGAUGGGAAAUAACAGUUAAAACUGCUAAAC
This 40115-nucleotide long non-coding RNA is filed under the name Olea europaea (common olive). Its description in RNAcentral is "long non-coding RNA (OEUR_LNC015034)". The record is from RNAcentral. Lineage: Eukaryota; Viridiplantae; Streptophyta; Magnoliopsida; Lamiales; Oleaceae.